This 1080-nucleotide ribosomal RNA is filed under the name uncultured Bacteroidota bacterium. RNAcentral describes it as "bacterial SSU rRNA". It matches the Rfam family "Bacterial small subunit ribosomal RNA", at positions 335 to 1400 of the family's 1533-position model. Lineage: Bacteria; Pseudomonadati; Bacteroidota. The record is from RNAcentral.
UGGCCUACGGGAGGCAGCAGUAAGGAAUAUUGGUCAAUGGACGAAAGUCUGAACCAGCCAUGCCGCGUGCAGGAUGACUGCCCUAUGGGUUGUAAACUGCUUUUAUAUAGGAAGAAAAACUUUCUCGUGAGAAAGCUUGACGGUACUAUAAGAAUAAGGAUCGGCUAACUCCGUGCCAGCAGCCGCGGUAAUACGGAGGAUCCAAGCGUUAUCCGGAAUCAUUGGGUUUAAAGGGUCCGUAGGUGGACAAAUAAGUCAGAGGUGAAAUCCUGCAGCUCAACUGUAGAACUGCCUUUGAUACUGUUUGUCUUGAGUUAUUAUGAAGUGGUUAGAAUGUGUAGUGUAGCGGUGAAAUGCAUAGAUAUUACACAGAAUACCGAUUGCGAAGGCAGUUCACUAAUAAUCAACUGACACUGAUGGACGAAAGCGUGGGUAGCGAACAGGAUUAGAUACCCUGGUAGUCCACGCCGUAAACGAUGGUCACUAGCUGUUUGGACUUCGGUCUGAGUGGCUAAGCGAAAGUGAUAAGUGACCCACCUGGGGAGUACGUUCGCAAGAAUGAAACUCAAAGGAAUUGACGGGGGCCCGCACAAGCGGUGGAGCAUGUGGUUUAAUUCGAUGAUACGCGAGGAAAACCUUACCAGGGCUUAAAUGUUAGGUGACAGAUCUAGAAAUAGAUUUUUCCCUUCGGACACUUAACAAGGUGCUGCAUGGUUGUCGUCAGCUCGUGCCGUGACCGGUGUCAGGUUAAGUCCUAUAACGAGCGCAACCCCUGUUGUUAGUUGCCACAGCGAGUAAUGUCGGGAACUCUAACAAGACUGCCAGUGCAAACUGUGAGGAACAGGUGGGGAUGACGUCAAAUCAUCACGGCCCUUACGUCCUGGGCUACACACACGUGCUACAAUGGUAGGUACAGAGAGCAGCCAAUGCGCGAGCAUGAGCAAAUAUCUAUAAAACCUAUCUCAGUUCGGAUCGGAGUCCGCAACUCGACUCCGUUAGAAGCUGGAAUCGCUAGUAAUCGGAUAUCAGCCAUGAUCCGGUGAAUACGGUUUCCCGGGCCUUGUACACACCGCCCGUCAA